This 1254-nucleotide long non-coding RNA is filed under the name Eucalyptus grandis. RNAcentral's name for it is "long non-coding RNA (EGRA_LNC007052)". The record is from RNAcentral. Lineage: Eukaryota; Viridiplantae; Streptophyta; Magnoliopsida; Myrtales; Myrtaceae.
UCGAACCGAAGAAAACAAACGAAGAAGAGAAAGAGGUGGUGAAACAGUUCACCACAUCGACCAAAGCAGCUGCCUUAUGAUAAGGAGAGCCAUGAGCGAGGGCGUUAAAAAGCAGUGAUUGAAACGAUCUCUUUCUCCGCACGUCACUAUACUCCCAUCGAGUAGAGGAUCGCUCAUGUCGCAAAGAGGAAACUUGAAAAGCCAUGCACCCAGAUCUGGACGAGGCUGGUCGCAACCCUCACCCAGUAGGCCAUUGCCAGCCACAAAUUUUUUUUUUUAAAAAAAAGGAGAAAAGGAAAUUAAUAAAAUUAAUUAAAAAUUCUAAAAAAUAUUAAAAUAUUAUUAACGUCAGUGUCGAUCAUGUCACGUUUCCAACCAAAAUUGACUGGAUUCAAUUGACAAAAAAUGGAAAAGUUUAAGACUCAAUUGGCAUAGAUACAUUAGGUUUACGAUUUGUUAGACAAUUUUCCCUACAAUCUAGAAGACCCAAAUCUGUAGGCAAGAAAAAACUCAAUGGAAAUCGUUAUGAAAGAUCUAACACCGCCCAAAAUCAUUAAAUGAUUCAUGCAGCGAAAUAUCGGGGCAACUUUAAGAAAAACACCACGAUAUAUAGAACUUUCUGCAUGUUCUCGCGUCAUGCCUUGGGAAAUCCAUGUCCCUCUCCAUUAUCGAAAGCUCAAAGCACCAAAAAGAAAAAUCACUUACAUCCUCCCUUCACCGCCACUUUACUGUGAGUUGAAAUAGCCGAGGCACCUGGAAGAAACAAGAAGAUUAUAAUCUAGAGCAAGCAAAAAAUUGUGAUCAAUAACUAAUAAAAGAUAAAUAACAUAAAUGAUCUCUGAACUUUAUAAUCCAAUAUACAAUGUCAUCCAUGAAUUAUUCAACUUCAUCCCGAACUUUAGUUCGAUAUUCAAUAAAACAAAAUUGUCCAAGUGAUGAUAAGAAAAACAGCAAGAUAUAUAAAAUUUUCUCUACGUUCUCACGUCAUGCUAUGUCAGCUAUGGUUUCACGGAAUCAUGAUGCUCAAUUUAUGUCCUUCUCCAUUAUUAGAAGCUUGAAGCACCAAAUAUAUAAAUAUCACUUACGGCCAUAGGCUCCCGGAAGGAACAGGGAAGCUAUAACCAAGAGCAAGCAGAAAAUGGCGGUGAUAAGAGAAGAUGAUGAUGUUGAGGAAGGGAAGUGCAUUUUUGCUAUGUGUGUGUGUGUGUGUGUGUGUGUGUGUGUGUGUGUAUUUAUAAUCCCCGACCUGCAAAU